This 1474-nucleotide ribosomal RNA is filed under the name uncultured organism. Its description in RNAcentral is "SSU rRNA". It matches the Rfam family "Bacterial small subunit ribosomal RNA". The record is from RNAcentral.
GCGUGCCUAAUACAUGCAAGUCGAACGCUUCUUUUUCCACCGGAGCUUGCUCCACCGGAAAAAGAGGAGUGGCGAACGGGUGAGUAACACGUGGGUAACCUGCCCAUCAGAAGGGGAUAACACUUGGAAACAGGUGCUAAUACCGUAUAACAAUCGAAACCGCAUGGUUUUGAUUUGAAAGGCGCUUUCGGGUGUCGCUGAUGGAUGGACCCGCGGUGCAUUAGCUAGUUGGUGAGGUAACGGCUCACCAAGGCCACGAUGCAUAGCCGACCUGAGAGGGUGAUCGGCCACAUUGGGACUGAGACACGGCCCAAACUCCUACGGGAGGCAGCAGUAGGGAAUCUUCGGCAAUGGACGAAAGUCUGACCGAGCAACGCCGCGUGAGUGAAGAAGGUUUUCGGAUCGUAAAACUCUGUUGUUAGAGAAGAACAAGGAUGAGAGUAACUGUUCAUCCCUUGACGGUAUCUAACCAGAAAGCCACGGCUAACUACGUGCCAGCAGCCGCGGUAAUACGUAGGUGGCAAGCGUUGUCCGGAUUUAUUGGGCGUAAAGCGAGCGCAGGCGGUUUCUUAAGUCUGAUGUGAAAGCCCCCGGCUCAACCGGGGAGGGUCAUUGGAAACUGGGAGACUUGAGUGCAGAAGAGGAGAGUGGAAUUCCAUGUGUAGCGGUGAAAUGCGUAGAUAUAUGGAGGAACACCAGUGGCGAAGGCGGCUCUCUGGUCUGUAACUGACGCUGAGGCUCGAAAGCGUGGGGAGCAAACAGGAUUAGAUACCCUGGUAGUCCACGCCGUAAACGAUGAGUGCUAAGUGUUGGAGGGUUUCCGCCCUUCAGUGCUGCAGCUAACGCAUUAAGCACUCCGCCUGGGGAGUACGACCGCAAGGUUGAAACUCAAAGGAAUUGACGGGGGCCCGCACAAGCGGUGGAGCAUGUGGUUUAAUUCGAAGCAACGCGAAGAACCUUACCAGGUCUUGACAUCCUUUGACCACUCUAGAGAUAGAGCUUCCCCUUCGGGGGCAAAGUGACAGGUGGUGCAUGGUUGUCGUCAGCUCGUGUCGUGAGAUGUUGGGUUAAGUCCCGCAACGAGCGCAACCCUUAUUGUUAGUUGCCAUCAUUCAGUUGGGCACUCUAGCAAGACUGCCGGUGACAAACCGGAGGAAGGUGGGGAUGACGUCAAAUCAUCAUGCCCCUUAUGACCUGGGCUACACACGUGCUACAAUGGGAAGUACAACGAGUCGCGAAGUCGCGAGGCUAAGCUAAUCUCUUAAAGCUUCUCUCAGUUCGGAUUGUAGGCUGCAACUCGCCUACAUGAAGCCGGAAUCGCUAGUAAUCGCGGAUCAGCACGCCGCGGUGAAUACGUUCCCGGGCCUUGUACACACCGCCCGUCACACCACGAGAGUUUGUAACACCCGAAGUCGGUGAGGUAACCUUUUAGGAGCCAGCCGCCUAAGGUGGGAUAGAUGAUUGGGGUGAAAUC